AUGAAGAACGUAGCGAAAUGCGAUACUUGGUGUGAAUUGCAGAAUCCCGUGAACCAUCGAGUCUUUGAACGCAAGUUGCGCCCGAAGCCAUUAGGCUAAGGGCACGUCUGCCUGGGCGUCACGC
This 124-nucleotide ribosomal RNA is filed under the name Johnstonella costata. Its description in RNAcentral is "5.8S ribosomal RNA". It matches the Rfam family "5.8S ribosomal RNA", at positions 36 to 154 of the family's 154-position model. From Rfam's summary of the family: 5.8S ribosomal RNA (5.8S rRNA) is a component of the large subunit of the eukaryotic ribosome. The record is from RNAcentral. RNAcentral also lists the same sequence under 3 other names. Lineage: Eukaryota; Viridiplantae; Streptophyta; Magnoliopsida; Boraginales; Boraginaceae.